UUACAUGACUGCCUUGGUUUUUAGGGCAUAUUUGGUUCAAAAAAGUUGGCCUUUGAAAUAAGAAUAGGAAUGAGUGAUUUUUGUUCCAGCCAUUUGAUUGAAGAAAAUCUCAUUUCUAUUUCUAAUUUGGAGGAGAAUAGAAAUAUCUCAAUCUCCCAAAACCCAAUCCCCAUUCUCUCCUAGUAUUCAUUUUUCAUUCCAAUUUCAAUUUUCAUUAUGAACCAAAUAUGUUAGGGAUAUGGCUAUUUCAGUUCCCAUUCCAAUUUCGAUUUUGAUUCUAAUCAUGAAUCAAAUGCACCCUUAAUGUUGAUGGACUAGAGAUGAAUGGAUUAAUCAUGGAAAGAAGGUCAAGUAUUUAGCAAGCCUAUGAACCAUUAGCUACAUCACCAUCUGACCAAUUUGGCCAUCUUCCUCGUUGCUUGUAGAUGAGGGUUAGUAUCAGAGAUAGAAGAAGAAAGCAACUAGAUGUGCCUAAUUAAAUAUUGAUGAUCAGCACCUAUUUUAUUUCGAAAAAAGGAUGUCACUAUUCAUGUAGGCAUUGCCUACUGAGGAGAGGGGAGAUCGAAAGCUCUCUCUCACCCUCCCCUAGCCUCUCUCUCCCUCUCUUUCUCUCCCUCCUCUUUUUCUCUCUUUUGAAGGAAGUCAGACUUCCGAGAUAUGCAUACAGAAAUCAGAUUGCAGCAAAAAUUAAACUAAUCUAAAUUUAAAUUUUUUUUAAAAUCAAGCAUGCAUACAAAAUAUAGAUAUAAUCUACACAUAGCCAGGAGCAUUCACAUGCUGAAAUUAAGAUUGUAAAAUUUAAAAAUCAGAUUAGAGAUAACACAUACAAAUUAGAGAUCCAUCUCCAUAACUUUGCAUGGGUCGAUGAACACUACAGCUGAUGAUCGUAGUAUACUUUGAGAUUCUUCGAUCAGUCGCAUACAUGUUCGACCAUUAUGGAUAUCCACAUGAGAUCCUCGGAUCAGAUCAAAGGCUCCUGACUUCAUCGAGAUACUAGCUCCCUAGCAGAGUCGUCUCCUGAUACAUGGUUGAUAAAGAACUUCUCCAUCAUUUUCUCUCAGAUCCUCUCAAAGAUGAUGGAGAACAAGAGGAGGGAGAGGAAGAAGAAGAGAUCCUCUAUCUCUUUUCUUCCCUAGAACCCAUGCCAUAAGGAGGAAGAGAUGUGGAGGAGGAAGAAGAGAAAGAUGAAGAAGAGGAGAAAACACCCUUUUUUCCUUUUUUUUUCUCUCUUCCCAAAACCCCACGUCCAAGGAGGAACCCACGCCUAAGAACCUCAUGCCCACA
This 1284-nucleotide long non-coding RNA is filed under the name Elaeis guineensis (African oil palm). RNAcentral describes it as "long non-coding RNA (EGUI_LNC008290)". The record is from RNAcentral. Lineage: Eukaryota; Viridiplantae; Streptophyta; Magnoliopsida; Arecales; Arecaceae.